RNAcentral lists this transfer RNA (75 nucleotides) under Janthinobacterium lividum. RNAcentral's name for it is "tRNA-Thr". It matches the Rfam family "tRNA". From Rfam's summary of the family: Transfer RNA (tRNA) molecules are approximately 80 nucleotides in length. Their secondary structure includes four short double-helical elements and three loops (D, anti-codon, and T loops). Further hydrogen bonds mediate the characteristic L-shaped molecular structure. tRNAs have two regions of fundamental functional importance: the anti-codon, which is responsible for specific mRNA codon recognition, and the 3' end, to which the tRNAs corresponding amino acid is attached (by aminoacyl-tRNA synthetases). tRNAs cope with the degeneracy of the genetic code in two manners: having more than one tRNA (with a specific anti-codon) for a particular amino acid; and 'wobble' base-pairing, i.e. permitting non-standard base-pairing at the 3rd anti-codon position. The record is from RNAcentral. Lineage: Bacteria; Pseudomonadati; Pseudomonadota; Betaproteobacteria; Burkholderiales; Oxalobacteraceae. RNAcentral also lists the same sequence under 4 other names.
GCCGGGUUAGCACAGUGGUAGUGCAGCGGUUUUGUAAACCGAAGGUCGCGGGUUCAAAUCCUGCACCCGGCACCA